GAUGAACGCUGGCGGCGUGCCUAAUACAUGCAAGUCGAGCGAACGGACGAGAAGCUUGCUUCUCUGAUGUUAGCGGCGGACGGGUGAGUAACACGUGGAUAACCUACCUAUAAGACUGGGAUAACUUCGGGAAACCGGAGCUAAUACCGGAUAAUAUUUUGAACCGCAUGGUUCAAAAGUGAAAGACGGUCUUGCUGUCACUUAUAGAUGGAUCCGCGCUGCAUUAGCUAGUUGGUAAGGUAACGGCUUACCAAGGCAACGAUGCAUAGCCGACCUGAGAGGGUGAUCGGCCACGCUGGAACUGAGACACGGUCCAGACUCCUACGGGAGGCAGCAGUAGGGAAUCUUCCGAAAUGGGCGAAAGCCUGACGGAGCAACGCCGCGUGAGUGAUGAAGGUCUUCGGAUCGGAAAACUCUGUUAUUAGGGAAGAACAUAUGUGUAAGUAACUGUGCACAUCUUGACGGUACCUAAUCAGAAAGCCACGGCUAACUACGUG
RNAcentral lists this ribosomal RNA (497 nucleotides) under uncultured bacterium. Its description in RNAcentral is "partial 16S ribosomal RNA". It matches the Rfam family "Bacterial small subunit ribosomal RNA", at positions 28 to 507 of the family's 1533-position model. The record is from RNAcentral.